This 301-nucleotide ribosomal RNA is filed under the name uncultured bacterium. RNAcentral describes it as "partial 16S ribosomal RNA". It matches the Rfam family "Bacterial small subunit ribosomal RNA", at positions 509 to 807 of the family's 1533-position model. The record is from RNAcentral.
CAGUAGCCGCGGGAAAACGAGGGGGGCAAGCGUUGUUCGGAAUUAUUGGGCGUAAAGGGCGCGUAGGCGGAUGGUACAGUCAGAUGUGAAAUUCCUGGGCUUAACCUGGGGGCUGCAUUUGAUACGUGCUGUCUAGAGUGAGGAAGAGGGUCGUGGAAUUCCCAGUGUAGAGGUGAAAUUCGUAGAUAUUGGGAAGAACACCGGUGGCGAAGGCGGCGACCUGGUCCUUGACUGACGCUGAGGCGCGAAAGCGUGGGGAGCAAAUAGGAUUAGAUACCCCAGUAGUCCCUGUCUCUUAUAC